UUUCUCGUGGUGUCUUGUGGGAGUGGCGGUGCGAUCCCUCUCAGACUUGUGAGUCCCUGCUGGAGUCAGAAGUUUUAGGCGAAUCCCAGGCGCGCCAAGGAAAGUGCUACAAAAGCCAUCCAUCUUGCAAGCGUUGGUGCCGAGGCGCAACGCUGAGAACGCAAAUACUAAAGGGCGCUGUUCUUUCCUCGUGGAGCUCACAGUCCGCUGGGGAGACCGUGAGAUGACAGCAGAGAAACUAGCGCGAUCAGUAGUACUCAGCGCAAGGACAGCGAGCAGAGAAGGCAAACCUAGUGCUUGCUAAGGAAGACUUCACAGAGGAGGUAGUGUCAGGGCCGAGACUAGGAGAAGGAUUCUCCAGGCUUCAUACGGUAAAACUCUCUGGGAAGGAAAGGAACUCAGAGUCCCAUGCAGAAAAUUGUUCAGCUGGAGGGGUAUCAGAAAGAUGGAUUUCCAAAGCCAACUGUUUCCUGUAGUGUGUGGAUCUCUGCAAGCAGAGCCUCAUCUUUCAAUUUCAGCUACAUGAAAGAGGAAGAAAGGGAAAGAUAUAUGUCAUACGUGAUAUACUUUAUGUGGCUUUGAAGACCCCUCUUUUGUGGGGCUACGGCUAAAGAACAUAGUUCCCUGGGAUGGAAUUGGCUCUUCCUAUUUCCCUACUUCAUGAAAACUCCAGUAGAAGACCUUAGAACCUUGUCCUGGUUACAUGGAUAUGUUUACUUUGUGAAAAUUCAUCAAGCACUAUGCACGGUCAUGAUUUGUACAUUUUUUUGUAAGAUAACUUCAUUAAAAUUUACUUUUUUUAUUUUUAAAAAAAAAAAAAAAAAAAA
RNAcentral lists this long non-coding RNA (827 nucleotides) under Homo sapiens (human). Its description in RNAcentral is "DNAJC9 and MRPS16 antisense RNA 1, transcript variant 3 (DNAJC9-AS1)". Lineage: Eukaryota; Metazoa; Chordata; Mammalia; Primates; Hominidae. The record is from RNAcentral.